Molecule: transfer RNA, 74 nt
Filed under: Xiphophorus maculatus (southern platyfish)
Lineage: Eukaryota; Metazoa; Chordata; Actinopteri; Cyprinodontiformes; Poeciliidae
Rfam family: tRNA
About the family: Transfer RNA (tRNA) molecules are approximately 80 nucleotides in length.
Source: Rfam by way of RNAcentral
GGAUGGUUUGGUCAGCUGGUCAGAGCGUGGUGCUAAUAACGCAGAGGUCAUGGGUUCAAUUCCCAUACUUGCUA